Molecule: ribosomal RNA, 465 nt
Filed under: Vreelandella stevensii
Lineage: Bacteria; Pseudomonadati; Pseudomonadota; Gammaproteobacteria; Oceanospirillales; Halomonadaceae
Description: partial 16S ribosomal RNA
Rfam family: Bacterial small subunit ribosomal RNA
Source: RNAcentral
CCUACGGUCGGCAGCAGUGGGGAAUAUUGGACAAUGGGGGGAACCCUGAUCCAGCCAUGCCGCGUGUGUGAAGAAGGCCCUCGGGUUGUAAAGCACUUUCAGUGAGGAAGAACGCCUGGUGGUUAAUACCCAUCAGGAAAGACAUCACUCACAGAAGAAGCACCGGCUAACUCCGUGCCAGCAGCCGCGGUAAUACGGAGGGUGCGAGCGUUAAUCGGAAUUACUGGGCGUAAAGCGCGCGUAGGUGGCUUGAUAAGCCGGUUGUGAAAGCCCCGGGCUCAACCUGGGAACGGCAUCCGGAACUGUCAAGCUAGAGUGCAGGAGAGGAAGGUAGAAUUCCCGGUGUAGCGGUGAAAUGCGUAGAGAUCGGGAGGAAUACCAGUGGCGAAGGCGGCCUUCUGGACUGACACUGACACUGAGGUGCGAAAGCGUGGGUAGCAAACAGGAUUAGAUACCCUUGUAGUC